CGUAGCUUAAAUCUUAAAGCAUAACACUGAAGAUGUUAUUAUGAACCCUAGAAAGUUCCGAAAGCACAAAGGCUUG
This 76-nucleotide transfer RNA is filed under the name Hippocampus capensis (Knysna seahorse). RNAcentral describes it as "tRNA-Phe". Lineage: Eukaryota; Metazoa; Chordata; Actinopteri; Syngnathiformes; Syngnathidae. The record is from RNAcentral.